UUCCUGGUGGUCCAAUGGCCAAGACUCUGCACUCCCACUGCAGGGGACCCAGGUUCAAUCCCUGGUUGGGGAA
RNAcentral lists this transfer RNA (73 nucleotides) under Ovis aries (sheep). It matches the Rfam family "tRNA". Rfam says of the family: Transfer RNA (tRNA) molecules are approximately 80 nucleotides in length. Their secondary structure includes four short double-helical elements and three loops (D, anti-codon, and T loops). Lineage: Eukaryota; Metazoa; Chordata; Mammalia; Artiodactyla; Bovidae. The record is from Rfam by way of RNAcentral.